Molecule: ribosomal RNA, 610 nt
Filed under: uncultured bacterium
Lineage: Bacteria
Description: bacterial SSU rRNA
Rfam family: Bacterial small subunit ribosomal RNA (bases 7-550)
Source: RNAcentral
GACGAACGCUGGCGGCGUGCCUAACACAUGCAAGUCGAGCGAGGUAUUUGCGACUGAUUCCUUCGGGAAGAAGCUGCAAAUCACCUAGCGGCGGACGGGUGAGUAACGCGUGAGGAACCUACCUCCUACAAAGGGAUAGCCUCGGGAAACUGGGAUUAAUACCUUAUGACACUUAAGAGUCGCAUGACUUUUAAGUUAAAGCGUUUUAGCGGUAGGAGAUGGCCUCGCGUCCCAUUAGCUAGUUGGUGAGGUAACGGCUCACCAAGGCGACGAUGGGUAGCCGGCCUGAGAGGGUGGACGGCCACACUGGAACUGAGACACGGUCCAGACUCCUACGGGAGGCAGCAGUGGGGAAUCUUCGGCAAUGGGCGGAAGCCUGACCGAGCGACGCCGCGUGAGGGACGAAGGCCUUCGGGUUGUAAACGUACCUCGUCGUCGGGGUACGGGGACGGUAAGGGUAACGGGUAACCCCGGGUACCCCGGGGAACGGAACCCGGGCCCGGUAACCGUAACCGUACGGUCCGACCGACGACGACCGGCCGGGUAAACGGUAAACGGUAAGGUAACGUAACCGUACGAGGAACGUACGUCCGAACCGGAACGGAACCCG